ACGCUCGACACCUACGGGGAGGCAGCAGGUGGGGAAUAUUGCACAAUGGGGGAAACCCUGAUGCAGCGACGCCGCGUGAGCGAAGAAGUAUUUCGGUAUGUAAAGCUCUAUCAGCGAGGGAAGAAAGUGACGGUACCUGACUAAGAAGCACCGGCUAAAUACGUGCAAGCACGCCGGACGGUAAUCUGAGCGGGCUGGCAAGGC
Molecule: ribosomal RNA, 204 nt
Filed under: uncultured bacterium
Lineage: Bacteria
Description: partial 16S ribosomal RNA
Rfam family: Bacterial small subunit ribosomal RNA
Source: RNAcentral